RNAcentral lists this ribosomal RNA (1395 nucleotides) under Incilius occidentalis (pine toad). RNAcentral's name for it is "partial 16S ribosomal RNA". It matches the Rfam family "Bacterial large subunit ribosomal RNA", at positions 133 to 2567 of the family's 2925-position model. The record is from RNAcentral. Lineage: Eukaryota; Metazoa; Chordata; Amphibia; Anura; Bufonidae.
GCCAAAAACCUAGCCCAACAAACAUGCAUAUAUCAAACUAAUUUAACCCUAUUAAAUAAAACAUUUUAAUACUUUAGUAAAGGAGAUUGAAAAAUUUAUUGGAGCUAUAAUUAUAGUACCGCAAGGGAAAGAUGAAAUAUUUAAUGAAAAACUUUCAAGCAAAUAAAAGUAAAGAUUAUACCUUGUACCUUUUGCAUCAUGGUUUGACUAGUUUAAUCAAGCAAAAUGUAUUUUAGUUUGACUCCCCGAAACUAAGUGAGCUACUUCAGGGCAGCUGUAAGAGCGAACCCGUCUCUGUAGCAAAAGAGUGGGACGACCCUCAAGUAGCGGUGAUAGACCUAACGAACUUAGUGAUAGCUGGUUACUCAAGAAAUGGAUUUAAGUCCAACCUGAAAUUCCACCACAGUACACCAAAUCAAUUACUUGAAUUUCAGAGUAAUUCAAAUAAGGUACAGCCUAUUUGAAACAGGAUACAACCCAGACUAAUGGAUAAGAUUAGCCUCAUUACAACCAAGUGGGCCUAAAAGCAGCCAUCUUUAAAAUAGCGUCAAAGCUUAAUUGUUCAAAUGCCUAAUUACCAAAUUUUUAUCAUAAUCCUUUUUUAAUACUGAGUAAUUCUAUAUUAUUAUAGAAAAUUUUAUGUUAAAACUAGUAACAAGAAGAAGACCCUUCUCUUUAAUGCAAGUGUAAAUCAGAAAGGACAAACCACUGAUAUUCAACGUCAAUGAACCAAGAGUAGUAACCAACCAAGAAAAUCCUACUUUUACAAACGUUAACCUAACACAAGAGCAUUCCAAGAAAGAUUAAAAGAAAAAGAAGGAACUCGGCAAACAUUAACCUCGCCUGUUUACCAAAAACAUCGCCUCUUGAAGACUUAUAAGAGGUCUAGCCUGCCCAGUGACCUUGUUCAACGGCCGCGGUAUCCUAACCGUGCGAAGGUAGCGUAAUCACUUGUUCUUUAAAUGUGGACUAGUAUGAAUGGCAUCACGAAGGUUAUACUGUCUCCUUUUUUUAAUCAGUGAAACUAAUCUCCCCGUGAAGAAGCGGGGAUAAACCUAUAAGACGAGAAGACCCUAUGGAGCUUUAAACAACAUAGCACUUGCCACACAAUAAUAAAAUUUCUGUAUUUAAACUUUCACCGGCAACUUGACUAUAAGUUUUUGGUUGGGGUGACCGCGGAGCAUAACACAACCUCCAUAUUGAAUAGAACUUUUCUAAGCUAAGACCUACAAGUCCAAGCAUCAAAAUAUUGACAUCCAUUGACCCAAUAUAUUUGAACAACGAACCAAGUUACCCUAGGGAUAACAGCGCAAUCCACUUCAAGAGCUCCUAUCGACAAGUGGGUUUACGACCUCGAUGUUGGAUCAGGGUAUCCCAGUGGUGCAGCCGCUACUA